GACGAACGCUGGCGGCGUGCUUAACACAUGCAAGUCGAACGGAAAGGCCCAGCUUGCUGGGUGCUCGAGUGGCGAACGGGUGAGUAACACGUGGGUGAUCUGCCUCUAACUUCGGGAUAAGCUUGGGAAACUGGGUCUAAUACCGGAUAGGACAAUCGUUUAGUGUCGGUUGUGGAAAGUUUUUUCGGUUAGGGAUGAGCCCGCGGCCUAUCAGCUUGUUGGUGGGGUAAUGGCCUACCAAGGCGUCGACGGGUAGCCGGCCUGAGAGGGUGGACGGCCACAUUGGGACUGAGAUACGGCCCAGACUCCUACGGGAGGCAGCAGUGGGGAAUAUUGCACAAUGGGCGCAAGCCUGAUGCAGCGACGCCGCGUGGGGGAUGACGGCCUUCGGGUUGUAAACCUCUUUCGACAGGGACGAAGCUUUGGUGACGGUACCUGUAUAAGAAGCACCGGCUAACUACGUGCCAGCCGCCGCCGUAA
RNAcentral lists this ribosomal RNA (480 nucleotides) under uncultured bacterium. RNAcentral's name for it is "partial 16S ribosomal RNA". It matches the Rfam family "Bacterial small subunit ribosomal RNA", at positions 28 to 523 of the family's 1533-position model. The record is from RNAcentral.